This 1291-nucleotide long non-coding RNA is filed under the name Bos indicus x Bos taurus (hybrid cattle). RNAcentral describes it as "lncRNA (ENSBIXG00000016394.1)". Lineage: Eukaryota; Metazoa; Chordata; Mammalia; Artiodactyla; Bovidae. The record is from RNAcentral.
UUUUUUUGAAAUUGUCAUAUUGGAUUUAUUUAUUUUGGAGGGACUGGUUAUUUCAAAAAGACAUUUAUCAAUUUUCAGUAUCAAAACAGUUACACUAUUGGUUUUUUUUUCCUCCCAAUUGGUCCCCAAAGAGGCCACACCAAAGGAGAGAACAUUUUAAGCCAAUUAAGCUGCAGGAUGCACCCCUAACAGACCUCACUGAAACCUCAUCAAAAAAGGGGGAUUGGGUAGGGAAAGAAACUUUAAAAGAUCAGCACACUGCUAGCCCACAGACUGUAGAGAGCUCUCACAGGCAGAGGGGUGACCAGUUUGCCUCAACCCCAAAGAAGCAAAGUUCCAAAAUAUAAAAAUUUACAAGUUUUGUACAUACGCUUUUCAAGAUUUCUCCAGCACUAACCGAUACAAAGCACAGUGAGAUGGCACUUUUAGAGACAGCAGCUUCAGACCCAGAAAAGGGUGAUGAGAUGAGUUUCAUAUGGCUAAAUCAGUGGCAAAACAUAAUUUUCUUUCCUUUCUUUCAAGGAGGCAGGAGAGCAAAUAAGUGGUCACUUCAAUAUAAGGGGCACAUGAUCCAUUCUGUGAGCAGUUGGGAACAGGGUAGAGCUGGGACAAGGAUUUGGUCUCAGAGGUUUUACCAUCUUAAUUGUUUGGUCACUUCUGAUGAAAAAAGAAAAAAAAAAAGUUGUCCAAAGAUACCGUAAAGCUGAAAACCUGAACAGCAUUUUUUUUUUUUUUUUUGGCUAACUCCUUCUGGAAUCAUCUUUCUGCUUUGGCAGGUACUUUUUACAGGGCAAUGAGGUUUCCCCAAACGGAGCCUUUCUCUGGGCUGCUAGGCUCUCAGUAAGGCAGGCCCAAACCUUUUCCCUUUCUCUCUGGAGAAGGCAAUAUGCAUUAAGCUGAAAUGUUACCUUCCAAAAGUGAGAAAGGGAUUAGACUGCUGCUUCAGUUCUACGGAAUUAUCUGGAAUGUUUUUUUUACAAAUGGUUGUAACAUCAAGAACAAAAAAGGUAAUUACAAAAUGUGUACAUCACAACAUGCUUUUAAAGACACUUCACAUUGUGCUCACAUUCCCUUAAACGUUGUUCCCAAAGGUGCUCAGCCUCUAGCCCAACUGGAAUCUCUGGGGAGAGAUCCUUACAGUUUUUUAGUUGCUAAGUCAUGUCCGACUCUUUGUGACCCCAUGAAUUUCAGUAUACAAAUUUUCCCUCGCCAUCACUGUUUCAUGGAGUUUGCUCAAAUUCAUGUCCAUUGAGUCUGUGAUGCCAUCCAACCAUCUCAUCCUCUGUCACCC